This 231-nucleotide small RNA is filed under the name Arabidopsis thaliana (thale cress). Its description in RNAcentral is "ATSL200360". The record is from RNAcentral. Lineage: Eukaryota; Viridiplantae; Streptophyta; Magnoliopsida; Brassicales; Brassicaceae.
ACCUCGGGGUCGAGUGGUGAAGUGAAGUGGUGAUGUCCUCUACUCGACCUGGUGGUCGAGUGGUCUCUUGAGAUCUUGAAGCUCCUACUCGACCUCUGGGUCGAGUGGUUUGUCAUGAUCAGGUGCGCUUCCAGAUAGCUCGUCAACAGCUCCAAAUCACCUGAAAUCAACGCAAAUAUGCAACAUGCAUGCAAAACUAUCCUAAACAUGCAAAGUGAUGACAAAUGAUUU